UGGGGAAUAUUGGACAAUGGGGGAAACCCUGAUCCAGCAAUGCCGCGUGAGUGAAGAAGGCCUUAGGGUUGUAAAGCUCUUUCGCCCGCGAAGAUAAUGACGGUAGCGGGAGAAGAAGCCCCGGCUAACUCCGUGCCAGCAGCCGCGGUAAUACGGAGGGGGCUAGCGUUGUCCGGAUUUACUGGGUGUAAAGGGCGCGCAGGCGGGAUAAAAAGUCAGUGGUGAAAUCCUACAGCUUAACUGUAGAACUGCCUUUGAUACUUUUAUUCUUGAGUUCGGGAGAGAGAGACGGAAUUCCAGGUGUAGUGGUGAAAUACGUAGAUAUCUGGAAGAACACCAGUUGCGAAGGCGGUCUCUUGGUCCGACACUGACGCUGAGGCGCGAAAGCGUGGGGAGCAAACA
Molecule: ribosomal RNA, 402 nt
Filed under: uncultured bacterium
Lineage: Bacteria
Description: bacterial SSU rRNA
Rfam family: Bacterial small subunit ribosomal RNA
Source: RNAcentral